Molecule: ribosomal RNA, 497 nt
Filed under: uncultured bacterium
Lineage: Bacteria
Description: partial 16S ribosomal RNA
Rfam family: Bacterial small subunit ribosomal RNA
Source: RNAcentral
GAUGAACGCUGGCGGCGUGCCUAAUACAUGCAAGUCGAGCGAACAGACGAGGAGCUUGCUCCUCUGACGUUAGCGGCGGACGGGUCAGUAAAACGUGGAUAACCUACCUAUAAGACUGGGUUAACUUCGGGAAACCGGUGCUAAUACCGGAUAAUAUAUUGAACCGCAUGGUUCAAUAGUGAAAGACGGUUUUGCUGUCACUUCUAGAUGGAUCCGCGCCGCAUUAGCUAGUUGGUAAGGUAACGGCUUACCAAGGCGACGAUGCGUAGCCGACCUGAGAGGGUGAACGGCCACACUGGGACUGAGACACGGUCCAGACUCCUACGGGAGGCAGCAGUAGGGAAUCUUGCGAGAUGGGCGAAAGCCUGACGGAGCGACGCCGCGUGAGUGAUGAAGGUCUUCGGAUCGUAUAACUCUGUUAUUAGGGAAGACCAAAUGUGUAAGUAACUAUGCACGUCUUGACGGUACCUAAUCAGAAAGCCACGGCUAACUACGUG